UAUGGAAACUGCUCAGAGUGGCCAAGGAUAAAUUCUCUUGUUGUGAGGAUUACGAGGAAGUUGGAACAAGGCAGGCAGGCAGGCCGGCAAACUUUGAAAAAUUGAAAGUUCAAAUUCAUGAAGUCCUAAGGCCCACUGCUGACUCUUCUCACGCAGUCCACGUCUUUUCUCCUCUCAGCCCCUCACAAACUCUUUCGUCGGCGGUUUCUGCUGCGACUUAGGAGCAGCUGCUCCUCACAGAACCCGACUACUGACCCCGUGUCCGCCUCUCAUCGCCGCCGAAAGCAACCUCGACGCCGUUGCGGGCGGAGGAACGCCAUCAUACGAGCCACGGAACACGCUGCUGCUGGUAGUUUUACUUUUCUGAUUUGUACGAAUUUGUUUGUUUGUCUGAUGAGAAAGUGGCGGCUGUUGUGCAGUCGAUGGCAAGCUGUUCAGGUCACUAUCCCUGGACUCUCCUUUCUCUUGGAUAUACAUGGUGGGAAAUUUUACUGAACGUACAUUUUCCAUUCUUUCUUCCGUAGUAUAGGGUUGGUUCAUCGUUCCAGUCAUGCUAAACUACCGUUUGGAAUGAGACAGUAUAAUGGGGCCAAAAUCGAUUACUGCAACUCCGUUUCAGUAACAUCCAGAAGGGUGAUUUUAUCUUCUUUUUGGAAUGUAUGCUCUGUGUUCAAUUAUCUUGCGGAUGCUCGCAUAUUGAGGAUAGAGCUUUGUUAUUGCAGAUUGUUAGAGGAGGAAGAGGGGUUCAGUAGUUGCGUGCUCGUCGUGUUGGCACCGUAUGCGCUGCAUCCGUGGGAAGGGAUCAUCGUCGAUUGAGAAUUGAUGACGAUUCACCUCAGGAGCCCUACUUUUUAAGUCUUGUCCAAGAAGCAGUGUGGUAAUUCCCCUCUCAGACUCGGAUCAUAGAUUUGUCAGUAGCCCUCGAUAACUAGGAGCACAAAUUGGUGGUCUUGCAUAAGAAGUAGUAUUAUCUUAUGUGAUAAACAAAACGUUGCAAUUAUCAUUAAUUGGCCGGGGUUGAGAUCGUUAUUCGUUUUUCUGAUUGAGCAGCCUAGUCAGCUGAAGUAUAUCGAAUGUCCAGGCUUCCAUAGCACGGUAUGCGCAAAACAAAACUACACUCGGAAGAUGUAGAAUUAUGAAUUCUACGUUGUGACUUUGCAAUGUAUUAAGUCAACCAGUGAACACUUGCUUGUCCAUCUUUCAUUGAGUUCAAAAGUGAUUACAAAUUUCUGGUAUUUCAAAUUUGAGGUAGUUUUAUGAUUUCAUGCAGCUUAAGACUGCUACACUUGCCCUUGUUCUUGUGGCGCUACUCAUCGUGGCACUUUGAUCAACGGACUCUGCCCUCAGCUAUUUGUUGGCUUUGAUUCUCAGGCGAACCCCCUACUCAAAUAAUAUUAUCAGAAGUAGGACCAAGCAUCAAUACCAGAAUUAUGACCGAGCUCAUCUGUUGGAGACGCUACAUUACACAUUCCAUUGGACCAUUGCCCCUUUGGUAUGUUUUUAUCGAAUCAACACACCAAAUGAUGCGAGUGUACCUUGUUAUUUUAGCAGUUGGAGAUAUUUAUCAAACAAGAUAGACCUUCACUUUUGUUCUAUGUGUGCUUGCCGUCCAGUUGCAAUGAAGAGUGGAUCCGCAUGGUCCCAAAUGAAUUGGUUUAUUCGAAAAAAGUCUUGUUCUUUGGAAGAUCUAUCUCGUGUCUGGUACUGCACGGUUCCACCCUGCAAUAACUCCGAAUCAUUCUCUUGAAGCCCAUCCUAAAACCCCGAACAAGCAAUUUCAACCGGCCGAUGACCCAUUUGGUUUAGUGGUUAAUUUCUCUUUAUUUUUUUAUUUUUCUUCUAUGGAUCUACCAUCCAUCCUCGCAAUUUAUUUUCUUCUUUUUUGGUUUUGAAUUGGAGCUUCCCUCCAGAGUUAGCUAGGUUUUUACUUGGGCGACAAGUAUGGAUGGAUUUACAUGUUC
Pyrus x bretschneideri (Chinese white pear) is the source of this 1961-nucleotide long non-coding RNA. RefSeq lists it as uncharacterized. The transcript has 2 exons. The record is from RefSeq and is a predicted model, not a curated record. NCBI's taxonomy places the organism in Eukaryota, Viridiplantae, Streptophyta, Magnoliopsida, Rosales, Rosaceae.